RNAcentral lists this ribosomal RNA (429 nucleotides) under uncultured bacterium. Its description in RNAcentral is "bacterial SSU rRNA". It matches the Rfam family "Bacterial small subunit ribosomal RNA", at positions 348 to 769 of the family's 1533-position model. The record is from RNAcentral.
GCAGCAGUGGGGAAUAUUGCACAAUGGGCGCAAGCCUGAUGCAGCCAUGCCGCGUGUAUGAAGAAGGCCUUCGGGUUGUAAAGUACUUUCAGCGGGGAGGAAGGGAGUAAAGUUAAUACCUUUGCUCAUUGACGUUACCCGCAGAAGAAGCACCGGCUAACUCCGUGCCAGCAGCCGCGGUAAUACGGAGGGUGCAAGCGUUAAUCGGAAUUACUGGGCGUAAAGCGCACGCAGGCGGUUUGUUAAGUCAGAUGUGAAAUCCCCGGGCUCAACCUGGGAACUGCAUCUGAUACUGGCAAGCUUGAGUCUCGUAGAGGGGGGUAGAAUUCCAGGUGUAGCGGUGAAAUGCGUAGAGAUCUGGAGGAAUACCGGUGGCGAAGGCGGCCCCCUGGACGAAGACUGACGCUCAGGUGCGAAAGCGUGGGGAGC